Molecule: ribosomal RNA, 253 nt
Filed under: uncultured bacterium
Lineage: Bacteria
Description: partial 16S ribosomal RNA
Rfam family: Bacterial small subunit ribosomal RNA
Source: RNAcentral
UACAGAGGUCCCAAGCGUUGUUCGGAUUCACUGGGCGUAAAGGGUGCGUAGGUGGUUGGAUAAGUCUGAUGUGAAAUCUCCGAGCUUAACUCGGAAAUGGCAUUGGAUACUAUUCGGCUGGAGGUUUGGAGGGGGGACUGGAAUUCUCGGUGUAGCAGUGAAAUGCGUAGAUAUCGAGAGGAACACCAGUGGCGAAGGCGAGUCCCUGGACAACACCUGACACUGAGGCACGAAAGCUAGGGGAGCAAACAGG